UCGAUGAAGAACGCUGCGAACUGCGAUACGUAAUGCGAAUUGCAGGAUUCAGUGAGUCAUCGAAAUUUUGAACGCAUAUUGCACUUCCGGGUUAGUCCUGGAAGUAUGCCUGUAUCAGUGUCCGUACAUUAAACUUGACUUUCUUCCUUCCGUGUAGUCGGU
RNAcentral lists this ribosomal RNA (162 nucleotides) under Phytophthora nicotianae (black shank of tobacco agent). RNAcentral describes it as "Phytophthora parasitica 5.8S ribosomal RNA". The stretch from base 1 to 123 matches the Rfam family "5.8S ribosomal RNA", at positions 33 to 154 of the family's 154-position model. From Rfam's summary of the family: 5.8S ribosomal RNA (5.8S rRNA) is a component of the large subunit of the eukaryotic ribosome. Lineage: Eukaryota; Oomycota; Peronosporomycetes; Peronosporales; Peronosporaceae. The record is from RNAcentral.